Molecule: transfer RNA, 82 nt
Filed under: Verrucomicrobiota bacterium
Lineage: Bacteria; Pseudomonadati; Verrucomicrobiota
Also listed under: 1 other name
Description: Verrucomicrobia bacterium tRNA-Leu
Rfam family: tRNA
About the family: Transfer RNA (tRNA) molecules are approximately 80 nucleotides in length. Their secondary structure includes four short double-helical elements and three loops (D, anti-codon, and T loops).
Source: RNAcentral
GCCAGGGUGGCGAAAUUGGCAGACGCGCCAGACUUAGGAUCUGGUGCCGAAAGGCGUGCAGGUUCGAGUCCUGUCCCUGGUA